Molecule: ribosomal RNA, 495 nt
Filed under: uncultured bacterium
Lineage: Bacteria
Description: partial 16S ribosomal RNA
Rfam family: Bacterial small subunit ribosomal RNA
Source: RNAcentral
GACGAACGCUGGCGGCGUGCCUAAUACAUGCAAGUAGAACGCUGAAGGAGGAGCUUGCUUCUCUGGAUGAGUUGCGAACGGGUGAGUAACGCGUAGGUAUCCUGCCUGGUAGCGGGGGAUAACUAUUGGAAACGAUAGCUAAUACCGCAUAAGAGUAGAUGUUGCAUGACAUUUGCUUAAAAGGUGCAAUUGCAUCACUACUAGAUGGACCUGCGUUGUAUUAGCUAGUUGGUGGGGUAACGGCUCACCAAGGCGACGAUACUUAGUCGACCUGAGAGGGGGGUCGGCCAAACUGGGAAUGGAGAAACGCUCAGACUCCCUCGGGAGGGAACAGGAGGGGAACUUCGGCCAUGGGCGGAAGUCUGACCGAGCAACGCCGCGGGGGUGGAGGAAGGUUUUCGGUCGGUAAGCCCUGUUGAAUGGGAAGGACGAGUGGUAGAGUGGAAAGUUCACGCUGUGACGGUACCUUACCAGAAAGCGACGGCUAACUACGUG